RNAcentral lists this transfer RNA (87 nucleotides) under Pseudomonadota bacterium. RNAcentral's name for it is "tRNA-Ser". It matches the Rfam family "tRNA". From Rfam's summary of the family: Transfer RNA (tRNA) molecules are approximately 80 nucleotides in length. Their secondary structure includes four short double-helical elements and three loops (D, anti-codon, and T loops). The record is from RNAcentral. Lineage: Bacteria; Pseudomonadati; Pseudomonadota. RNAcentral also lists the same sequence under 3 other names.
GGAGAGGUGUCCGAGAGGCUGAAGGAACGCGACUGGAAAUCGCGUAUACGGGCAACCGUAUCGGGGGUUCGAAUCCCCCCCUCUCCG